RNAcentral lists this ribosomal RNA (522 nucleotides) under uncultured bacterium. RNAcentral's name for it is "bacterial SSU rRNA". It matches the Rfam family "Bacterial small subunit ribosomal RNA", at positions 47 to 518 of the family's 1533-position model. The record is from RNAcentral.
CCUAAGACAUGCAAGUCGAACGAGAAGGCCCACUGAUUUGUAUCGAAAUUGGAGUGCUUGCACAAAGAUGGAAAUACAAUUGACGUGGAUCACCUUCUAGUGGCAAACGGGUGAGUAACACGUGGGUUACCUGCCUCUAAGUUGGGGAUAUCAUCUGGAAACGGAUAGUAAUACCGAAUGUGAUCUAUGGAUUAAAGGAGCCUUAAAGCUUCGCUUAGAGAUGGGCCUGCGUCGUAUUAGCUUGUUGGUGAGAUAAUAGCCCACCAAGGCAACGAUGCGUAGCCGAACUGAGAGGUUGAUCGGCCACACUGGGACUGAGACACGGCCCAGACUCCUACGGGAGACAGCAGUUAGGAAUAUUCGUCAAUGGGGGAAACCCUGAACGAGCAAUGCCGCGUGAAUGAUGAAGGCCCUCUGGGUUGUAAAAUUCUGUUGUUUGGAAAAAAUUGUAUCGGAAGGAAAUGACCGAUACUUGAUGGUACCAUUCAAGAAAGCCACGGCUAACUACGUGCCAGCAGCGGC